GGGCCUUCGGCGACCAGAGAAUUGUGCCGGCGCACGAACUCUGGUAUUGAUUGGUGCUUGCAUCAUGAUUUACAUUUGAGUGAGUGGCGAACUGGUGAGUAACACGUGGGAAACCUGCCCAGAAGCGGGGGAUAACACCUGGAAACAGAUGCUAAUACCGCAUAACAACUUGGACCGCAUGGUCCGAGUUUGAAAGAUGGCUUCGGCUAUCACUUUUGGAUGGUCCCGCGGCGUAUUAGCUAGAUGGUGGGGUAACGGCUCACCAUGGCAAUGAUACGUAGCCGACCUGAGAGGGUAAUCGGCCACAUUGGGACUGAGACACGGCCCAAACUCCUACGGGAGGCAGCAGUAGGGAAUCUUCCACAAUGGACGAAAGUCUGAUGGAGCAACGCCGCGUGAGUGAAGAAGGGUUUCGGCUCGUAAAACUCUGUUGUUAAAGAAGAACAUAUCUGAGAGUAACUGUUCAGGUAUUGACGGUAUUUAACCAGAAAGCCACGGCUAACUACGUGCCAGCAGCCGCGGUAAUACGUAGGUGGCAAGCGUUGUCCGGAUUUAUUGGGCGUAAAGCGAGCGCAGGCGGUUUUUUAAGUCUGAUGUGAAAGCCUUCGGCUCAACCGAAGAAGUGCAUCGGAAACUGGGAAACUUGAGUGCAGAAGAGGACAGUGGAACUCCAUGUGUAGCGGUGAAAUGCGUAGAUAUAUGGAAGAACACCAGUGGCGAAGGCGGCUGUCUGGUCUGUAACUGACGCUGAGGCUCGAAAGUAUGGGUAGCAAACAGGAUUAGAUACCCUGGUAGUCCAUACCGUAAACGAUGAAUGCUAAGUGUUGGAGGGUUUCCGCCCUUCAGUGCUGCAGCUAACGCAUUAAGCAUUCCGCCUGGGGAGUACGGCCGCAAGGCUGAAACUCAAAGGAAUUGACGGGGGCCCGCACAAGCGGUGGAGCAUGUGGUUUAAUUCGAAGCUACGCGAAGAACCUUACCAGGUCUUGACAUACUAUGCAAAUCUAAGAGAUUAGACGUUCCCUUCGGGGACAUGGAUAC
RNAcentral lists this ribosomal RNA (1038 nucleotides) under bacterium HYX-L6. Its description in RNAcentral is "bacterial SSU rRNA". It matches the Rfam family "Bacterial small subunit ribosomal RNA", at positions 1 to 1035 of the family's 1533-position model. The record is from RNAcentral.